GUGCUCGCUCGGGCAGCACAUACACUGACACUGGAAUGAUGCAGAGAUCAGCAUGGCCCUGUGCGAGGAUGACACGCAAGUUCGUGAAGCGUUCCAUAUUUUU
Small nuclear RNA from Echinops telfairi (small Madagascar hedgehog), 103 nucleotides. The record is from Ensembl. NCBI's taxonomy places the organism in Eukaryota, Metazoa, Chordata, Mammalia, Afrosoricida, Tenrecidae.